GACGAACGCUGGCGGCGUGCCUAAUACAUGCAAGUAGAACGCAGUUGCGAACGGGUGAGUAACGCGUAGGUAACUGCCUGGUAGCGGGGGAUAACUAUUGGAAACGAUAGCUAAUACCGCAUACUACCAGAUGGACCUGCGUUGUAUUAGCUAGUUGGUGAGGUAACGGCUCACCAAGGCAACGAUACAUAGCCGAACUGAGAGGGGUGUUGGCCACACUGGGACUGAGAACCGGCCCAGAAUUCCAAGGGAGGCAGCAGGAGGGAAUCUUCGGCAAUGGGGGGAAACCUGACCGAGCAACGCCGGGUGAGUGAAGAAGGUUCUCGGAUCGGAAAGCUCUGUUGUUAAGGAAGCGGUACUUAACCAGAAAGGGACGGCUAACUACGUGCCAGCAGCCGCGGUAAUUC
Molecule: ribosomal RNA, 407 nt
Filed under: uncultured bacterium
Lineage: Bacteria
Description: partial 16S ribosomal RNA
Rfam family: Bacterial small subunit ribosomal RNA
Source: RNAcentral